Triticum aestivum (bread wheat) is the source of this 136-nucleotide non-coding RNA. The record is from Rfam. NCBI's taxonomy places the organism in Eukaryota, Viridiplantae, Streptophyta, Magnoliopsida, Poales, Poaceae.
AUCAUACCCCCUCCGCCCCAAAAUUCUUGUCUUAGAUUUGUCUAGAUAUGGAUGUAUCAAGUCACGUUUUAGUAUUUUGAUACAUCCGUAUCUAGACAAAUCUAAGACAAGAAUUUUGGGACGGAGGGAGUACUUA